RNAcentral lists this ribosomal RNA (253 nucleotides) under uncultured bacterium. Its description in RNAcentral is "partial 16S ribosomal RNA". It matches the Rfam family "Bacterial small subunit ribosomal RNA", at positions 524 to 776 of the family's 1533-position model. The record is from RNAcentral.
UACGAAGGGGGCUAGCGUUACUCGGAAUGACUGGGCGUAAAGGGCGCGUAGGCGGUUUGGACGGUUAGGCGUGAAAUUCCUGGGCUCAACCUGGGGGCUGCGCUUAAUACAUCUGGACUAGAGUGUGAAAGAGGGUCGUGGAAUUCCCAGUGUAGAGGUGAAAUUCGUAGAUAUUGGGAAGAACACCGGUGGCGAAGGCGGCGACCUGGUUCAUUACUGACGCUGAGGCGCGAAAGCGUGGGGAGCAAACAGG